This 481-nucleotide ribosomal RNA is filed under the name uncultured bacterium. RNAcentral's name for it is "partial 16S ribosomal RNA". It matches the Rfam family "Bacterial small subunit ribosomal RNA", at positions 28 to 507 of the family's 1533-position model. The record is from RNAcentral.
GAUGAACGCUGGCGGCGUGCUUAACACAUGCAAGUCGAACGAAGCAUUUAAGACAGAUUACUUCGGUUUGAAGUCUUUUAUGACUGAGUGGCGGACGGGUGAGUAACGCGUGGGUAACCUGCCUCAUACAGGGGGAUAGCAGCUGGAAACGGCUGGUAAUACCGCAUAAGCGCACAGUACCACAUGGUACAGUGUGAAAAACUCCGGUGGUAUGAGAUGGACCCGCGUCUGAUUAGCUUGUUGGCGGGGUAACGGCCCACCAAGGCGACGAUCAGUAGCCGACCUGAGAGCGUGACCGGCCACAUUGGGACUGAGGCACGGCCCCGACUCCUACGGGAGGCAGCAGUGGGGAAUAUUGCACACUGAAGGAAACUCUGAUGCAGCGACGCCGCGUGAGUGAAGAAGUAGUUCGCUAUGUAAAGCUCUAUCAGCAGGGAAGAUAGUGACGGUACCUGACUAAGAAGCUCCGGCUAAAUACGUG